ACCAGACUCCUACGGGAGGCAGCAGUAGGGAAUAUUGCUCAAUGGGGGAAACCCUGAAGCAGCGACGCCGCGUGGAGGAUGAAGGAUUUCGGAUUGUAAACUUCUAUCGUUAGAGAAGAUAAUGACGGUAUCUAACGAAUAAGCACCGGCUAACUACGUGCCAGCAGCCGCGGUAAUACGGAGGGGGCAAGCGUUACCCGGAAUCACUGGGCGUAAAGAGCGCGUAGGCGGGAUAGCAAGUCAGAUGUGAAAUCCUGGGGCUUAACCAUAGAACUGCAUUUGAAACUGUUAUUCUAGAGUAUGGGAGAGGUAGGUGGAAUUCUUGGUGUAGGGGUAAAAUCCGUAGAGAUCAGGAGGAAUACUCAUUGCGAAGGCGGCCUGCUAGAACAUAACUGACGCUGAGGCGCGAAAGCGUGGGGAGCAAACAGGAUUAGAUACCCCGGUA
RNAcentral lists this ribosomal RNA (445 nucleotides) under uncultured bacterium. Its description in RNAcentral is "bacterial SSU rRNA". It matches the Rfam family "Bacterial small subunit ribosomal RNA", at positions 330 to 792 of the family's 1533-position model. The record is from RNAcentral.